AUUUCUUUAAUAAUAUGGAAGGAAGCCACGAUAUUCAGAAUAUAACUUUGGCGUAAAUGUUUCAACCUCCCAUUCAGCCAGUAGUCCAUGCGAAUUAAUUGUGAAACGAUAUCGAGAUUUUUAUUGAGUAAAACAGGACUUUUUGUAGACUGCAAGCAACUUCCUUAAAUUAGCCAUCCAGUAUCGCGUGCAACAAUCGGAGUUGUGCUCAUCCAGUUUAUGAAUGGAAUCCGCUGAUCUACGCAGAUAAGCCCGAGACGAUUGGUGCCUUGGAAGAGCAUAUUCGGCGCGUUAUGCGGAUAUACGGCUCCAAUCGCUGCAAAAAGUGGUCGAAAAUUGGACCCCUCGGUUGGAAAUUUAUUCGAGCCAGCCAAUCAUUUUUGAAACAUAAUGGAAAACCCUUAUCUUUAUAAUAAAGCUAAAUUCUUGGCGAUAACAUUAAAUGAGAUGCGUUAUUUUUCUUUACGAAAACCACAUGUCUCAUGACGUCACGACUUAAAAAUAUUUUCUUUCAAAUGCUCUCCACAAAAAUUAACGCAUGGAACGGUCGUAGUCUUCUUUUCGAUCAAUCUCGGUUGGACAGUGCCCGCAACGUUGAUGACUGGAUAAAUCAGCGAUAAUAUCGAUCAAACAAUUUAACAGAGAAGGCUAGCACUUGCGCACGCGAAUUUAUGUGCCGAUAAUGUAAACCUGAACAGUUAUUUUUUACAGGGUGGUCUCUCUUAGCAGUUUUUCUCUCUUAAGAUAUUGGUUGAAAGACUCAAAAUAAGAAGCUGACCUAUUCGAGAUGUCUUCGCCUGAUUUUUAACUGGAGAGUUAAUAUGUACACUUACGAGUCCUACGGUUGCACUGAGUCGUUAGGGAAUAUGGCUGUUUUAGCCAAGUGCUUUUGACUCAGUCGCGAAUCAUCAAUUAAAAAGGAAAGUAAUUUGGAUGGUAAGGAUCUUGGAAGAACAUGAAAAGGUCUCAAUAAAUCAUCCAAUAUUCUUUACGUCAUUUGUUGAACAGUGCACAACAUUACAAGUCCAUGACACAAUCUAUUUCCUGCACGCCAAAUGCGCUAAUCUUGACCUCGCCGUACUCAGUAAUGUCAAUUAAACUCUUUGGAUCUCAUUUUGAUGCCGUAAGUCUUUUUUUGAGGAGUUCUGAGAGAGACCUAUUAUAUGCGAACAAUUCAUUAAGAAUUUCGACCGAUUAAACAGAAUUGAGUCCGUCAUGUGUGAGAUAGAGACGAAAACUUUCACCAUCUAUCAUAUACAUUGCAUGUUUAUCAGAGGAUUACUACUAACUCCUUCCAACUGAUAUUUUUGUAGAUACAAAAAAAAAAAACACAUUUUGUGUGAUUAAGGCAAUUUUU
Bactrocera oleae (olive fruit fly) is the source of this 1357-nucleotide non-coding RNA. The record is from RefSeq and is a predicted model, not a curated record. NCBI's taxonomy places the organism in Eukaryota, Metazoa, Arthropoda, Insecta, Diptera, Tephritidae.